CCGUAGGCCGUUGAAGCGAUC
This 21-nucleotide microRNA is filed under the name Mus musculus (house mouse). Its description in RNAcentral is "microRNA miR-L-25". The record is from RNAcentral. Lineage: Eukaryota; Metazoa; Chordata; Mammalia; Rodentia; Muridae.